RNAcentral lists this long non-coding RNA (525 nucleotides) under Chinchilla lanigera (long-tailed chinchilla). Its description in RNAcentral is "lncRNA (ENSCLAG00000024899.1)". The record is from RNAcentral. Lineage: Eukaryota; Metazoa; Chordata; Mammalia; Rodentia; Chinchillidae.
AUGUUGUCAGGCAGGUUCGUACAGGAACAUUCUGGGGCUGUUCUGAGAGCAGUAGGUAGAGUUGAAAGUGUCCUUGCCUGGGCCAGUCUUCCCCCAAAGAGGACAGACAGCCUGGAAGCCCCUGAAGCAAGUUGGAAUCACUGCACGUUUUUAAAACACAAGCCGGACACAAUCAGUUUGACCCACACGUUGUUAAGGGGGAACAUCUGGGCCUCGCCAGUCCAGCCUGGCUAUGUGACGGGCAGCAUGAGCAUAGUCACAGACACAAUUGGGUUCAAGACCUUGGAGACCAGCACUGUUAUGAGCCGUCCAGGUGGAAAAGACACAGCCGGGAGCCCGCUCUCCUGGGGGAAAACGGCUCUUAGUGACGAAAGCCCGGGUCCCAAGAAACUUAGGCUAUGAUGAUAGGGCCCCUUUCCGAGAGCUGGAAGUCUCCAGGGGAAGGAACUGUCUCUCUGGAGCCCCAGAAGCCCAAGAUGAACUCCCUUACUAGGUGCAACCCCAAGGCUCCCUCUGAGCCCCCCU